GCCCCGGUGGCCUAGCCCGGUAAGGCAGCAGCCUCGUAAGCUGCGGAACGCGGGUUCAAAUCCCGCCCGGGGCU
This 74-nucleotide transfer RNA is filed under the name archaeon. Its description in RNAcentral is "tRNA-Thr". It matches the Rfam family "tRNA". Rfam says of the family: Transfer RNA (tRNA) molecules are approximately 80 nucleotides in length. Their secondary structure includes four short double-helical elements and three loops (D, anti-codon, and T loops). The record is from RNAcentral. RNAcentral also lists the same sequence under 2 other names.